Molecule: ribosomal RNA, 253 nt
Filed under: uncultured bacterium
Lineage: Bacteria
Description: partial 16S ribosomal RNA
Rfam family: Bacterial small subunit ribosomal RNA
Source: RNAcentral
UACGUAGGGGGCAAGCGUUGUCCGGAUUUAUUGGGCGUAAAGAGCGUGUAGGCGGCCAGACAGGUCCGUUGUGAAAACUCGAGGCUCAACCUCGAGACGCCGAUGGAAACCGUCUGGCUAGAGUCCGGAGGAGGAGAGUGGAAUUCCUGGUGUAGCGGUGAAAUGCGCAGAUAUCAGGAAGAACACCCGUGGCUAAGGCGGCUCUCUAGUACGGUACUGACGCUGAGACGCGAAAGCGUGGGGAGCGAACAGG